RNAcentral lists this ribosomal RNA (948 nucleotides) under uncultured euryarchaeote. RNAcentral describes it as "bacterial SSU rRNA". It matches the Rfam family "Archaeal small subunit ribosomal RNA", at positions 45 to 999 of the family's 1478-position model. The record is from RNAcentral. Lineage: Archaea; Methanobacteriati; Methanobacteriota.
CUAGCCAUGCGAGUCGAGAGUCGUAAUGGACUCGGCGGACUGCUCAGUAACACGUGGAUAACAUGCCCUGAAGUGGAGGAUAAUCUCGAGAAAUUGAGGAUAAUACUCCAUAGAUCAUAGGAUCUGGAAUGACUUAUGGUCGAAAGUUCCGGCGCUUCAGGAUUGGUCUGCGGCUUAUUAGGUCGUAGUGGGUGUAACGGACCCUCUAGCCGAUGACGAGUAUGGGCCUUGAGAGAGGGAGCCCAGAGAUGGAUUCUGAGACACGAAUCCAGGCCCUACGGGGCGCAGCAGUCGCGAAAACUUCACAAUGGAGGCAACUCCGAUGAGGGAAUUCCUAGUGCUAGUACAUUAGUAUUAGCUUUUCUUAAGCGUAAGUAACUUAAGGAAUAAGGGCUGGGUAAGACGGGUGCCAGCCGCCGCGGUAAUACCCGCAGCCCAAGUGGUGGUCGAUUUUAUUGAGUCUAAAACGUUCGUAGCCGGUUUGGUAAAUCCUUGGGUAAAUCGAAAGGCUUAACUUUUCGAAUUCCGAGGAGACUGCUAAACUUGGGACCGGGAGAGGCGAGAGGUACUUCUGGGGUAGGGGUAAAAUCCUGUAAUCCUAGAAGGACCACCGGUGGCGAAGGCGUCUCGCUAGAACGGAUCCGACGGUGAGGGACGAAGCCCUGGGUCGCAAACGGGAUUAGAUACCCCGGUAGUCCAGGGUGUAAACGCUGCAGACUUGGUGUUGGGGGCCCUACGGGGGCGUUCAGUGCCGGAGAGAAGUUGUUAAGUCUGCUACUUGGGGAGUACGUCCGCAAGGAUGAAACUUAAAGGAAUUGGCGGGGGAGCACCGCAACGGGAGGAGCGUGCGGUUUAAUUGGAUUCAACACCGGAAAACUCACCAGCGGCGACUGUUACAUGAAAGUCAGCCGAUGACCUUACUAGAUUUUCAGAGAGGUGUGCAUGGGC